Molecule: non-coding RNA, 29 nt
Filed under: Mus musculus (house mouse)
Lineage: Eukaryota; Metazoa; Chordata; Mammalia; Rodentia; Muridae
Source: RNAcentral
UGUGAAUGAGGGANCAGUAAGGACCCAGC